AGAAAUGUGGAACCAGAUUACCGGUAUCAACUGUGAGAAACCCAGACUUUCAACAGACCAAGGUGGCCUGUUCAACUCACCGAGCCAUGGACGCAGAUGCCCGUAGAUAAGCUCAUCUUUCACUGUGAUGCUGGCUGGAUGGGGAGAAGCAGUGAAGAGCGUGAAAAUAACAUUAAGUGCCAUCAGCAGAGGUUUGACGUAGUCCGGAUGGAAGAGUCUGACCAGGUGAUAGAAAGGACCGAGGAACCAGCUGCAAGAGUGUGUGUGGCCUAUCAGCCAAGAGUGUGUAGGAGGUUUGCUGAAGCAGGAAAGCCUGUGCAUGUACCAGGCGUGUC
Thunnus maccoyii (southern bluefin tuna) is the source of this 335-nucleotide long non-coding RNA. RefSeq lists it as uncharacterized. The record is from RefSeq and is a predicted model, not a curated record. The transcript is spliced from 3 exons. Lineage: Eukaryota; Metazoa; Chordata; Actinopteri; Scombriformes; Scombridae.